Molecule: ribosomal RNA, 440 nt
Filed under: uncultured bacterium
Lineage: Bacteria
Description: partial 16S ribosomal RNA
Rfam family: Bacterial small subunit ribosomal RNA
Source: RNAcentral
CCUACGGGGGGCAGCAGUGGGGAAUAUUGCACAAUGGGGGAAACCCUGAUGCAGCGACGCCGCGUGAGUGAAGAAGUAUUUCGGUACGUAAAGCUCUAUCAGCAGGGAAGAAAAUGACGGUACCUGACUAAGAAGCCCCGGCUAACUACGUGCCAGCAGCCGCGGUAAUACGUAGGGGGCAAGCGUUAUCCGGAUUUACUGGGUGUAAAGGGAGCGUAGACGGCAGCGCAAGUCUGAUGUGAAAUCCCGGGGCUCAACCCCGGGACUGCAUUGGAAACUGUGAGGCUGGAGUGUAGGAGAGGUAAGCGGAAUUCCUGGUGUAGCGGUGAAAUGCGUAGAUAUUAGGAGGAACACCGGUGGCGAAGGCGGCUUACUGGACUGUAACUGACGUUGAGGCUCGAAGGCGUGGGGAGCAAACAGGAUUAGAUACCCGAGUAGUC